GACGAACGCUGGCGGCGUGCCUAAUACAUGCAAGUCGAGCGAACUUGCGGGAGCUUGCUCCCAAAAGUUAGCGGCGGACGGGUGAGUAACACGUGGGCAACCUGCCUGUAAGACUGGGAUAACAUCGGGAAACCGAUGCUAAUACCGGAUAAUUCCUUUCCUCUCAUGAGGAAAGGCUAAAAGAUGGUUUCGGCUAUCACUUACAGAUGGGCCCGCGGCGCAUUAGCUAGUUGGUGAGGUAACGGCUCACCAAGGCAACGAUGCGUAGCCGACCUGAGAGGGUGAUCGGCCACACUGGGACUGAGACACGGCCCAGACUCCUACGGGAGGCAGCAGUAGGGAAUCUUCCGCAAUGGACGAAAGUCUGACGGAGCAACGCCGCGUGAGUGAUGAAGGUUUUCGGAUCGUAAAACUCUGUUGUUAGGGAAGAACAAGUGCCGGAGUAACUGCCGGCGCCUUGACGGUACCUAACCAGAAAGCCACGGCUAACUACGUGCCAGCCGCCGCAGUAAAAC
This 515-nucleotide ribosomal RNA is filed under the name uncultured bacterium. Its description in RNAcentral is "bacterial SSU rRNA". It matches the Rfam family "Bacterial small subunit ribosomal RNA", at positions 28 to 526 of the family's 1533-position model. The record is from RNAcentral.